UGCGAUCUCAUGGGGUGCGCGGCGGAUCGGCCGCCGUGCUGAGAGGCCAUCCGGCCAACCCAUCGAACCUGAUCCGGGUCAUGCCGGCGGAGGGAGUGAGAGAUGCACGCGCC
Molecule: non-coding RNA, 113 nt
Filed under: Pseudorhodoplanes sinuspersici
Lineage: Bacteria; Pseudomonadati; Pseudomonadota; Alphaproteobacteria; Hyphomicrobiales
Description: TPP sequence
Rfam family: TPP riboswitch aptamer (THI element)
About the family: Vitamin B(1) in its active form thiamin pyrophosphate (TPP) is an essential coenzyme that is synthesised by coupling of pyrimidine and thiazole moieties in bacteria. The previously detected thiamin-regulatory element, thi box was extended, resulting in a new, highly conserved RNA secondary structure, the THI element, which is widely distributed in eubacteria and also occurs in some archaea.
Source: Rfam by way of RNAcentral